This is a non-coding RNA of Podarcis lilfordi (Lilford's wall lizard), 68 nucleotides long. Lineage: Eukaryota; Metazoa; Chordata; Lepidosauria; Squamata; Lacertidae. The record is from the annotation of a GenBank genome assembly.
CUGUAGCUCAGUGGUAGAGCAACUGCUUUGCAGGUGGAAAGUUCCAGCUUCAAUCCCUGGCAUCUGGA